This 5349-nucleotide long non-coding RNA is filed under the name Medicago truncatula (barrel medic). RNAcentral's name for it is "long non-coding RNA (MTRU_LNC002489)". Lineage: Eukaryota; Viridiplantae; Streptophyta; Magnoliopsida; Fabales; Fabaceae. The record is from RNAcentral.
GUAACAAAAUAUUAUCACGCAGCUAAAAUAAGAGAAGAGAAAAGAGGAACUGAACACACAAUAUUUUACGUGGAAACCCCUCAACAAAUAAGGGGAAAAAAACCACGGGGCAAGAGUAGAGAACUUUCACUAAGUGGAAGAAAUUACAGGACCUCUCUCUAACUACAAGGAGAGUACAAAUACCACUCUCUCUUAUAAAUAGGAGAAUACUAACUAACACAAACUAGGAGAAACCUCACAGGAGAAACUAUUUUUCCUCUCUAUAUUUUUUCUCUCACUAUCUAAACAAGCUUUACUUGUUCUUGUGUUGUUACUGAUUUGGGAUGAGUAGAAUAAUGCAAGGGACAUGCUAUUUAUACUAGUGAAAGAGCCAUGCCCCAACCAAUUGCAUUUAUGGCAGCAUGUGAAUUUUCAACUUUGCAUAGUAACUUUCCAUGUGAACAUAGAAAUUACAUGCCAACAUGUUUUACUGCCAUGUGAUAACACUUCAACAAAAGUGGCUUUACCACUUUCCUGUGUUCACAAUCUCCCACUUAAAGUCACUUUUGUGAGCUCUCAAAAUCUCUCUACCUUGCCGACUUCGGUUGCUACGUUUCCAAUAGGCCAUACGAGGAUCGACACCAUACAAACUUAUCAGCGUUGAUCGGCUUUGUCAUUACAUCUGCUAGAUUAUCAUUGGUGUGAAUCUUCUGCAUGUCCACACUUCCCUCCUCUACUACUUCGCGAACAAAAUGAUAUUGAACGCCUAUGUGUUUCGUCCUUGAAUGAAAAGCUGGAUUCCUUGCAAUAUGCAAGGCACUCUGACUGUCACAAUACACAGUAAUUUGUUCCUGCUUGUGCCCGAGUUCCUCCAUUAACCUUUGCAUCCAAAUAGCUUCCUUGCAUGCUUGAGUAGCUGCCAUGUACUCCGCUUCUGUCGUUGACAGAGCUACAACCGUUUGUAACUUGGACAACCAACUUACUGCUCCUCCUGCAAGCGUGAACACAUAACCAGUAGUAGAUUUUCUUUUAUCAUGAUCACCUGCAAAAUCUGAAUCAACAUAACCCCUGACAGUUAACUCUGAUCCUCCGAAACAUACCGCAACACCUGAGGUUCCUUUAAUGUACCUCAUGAUUCUCUUAACAGCAUUCCAAUGCUCUUUACCCGGAUCCGCCAUAAACCGACUAACCACUCCCACUGCUUGUGCAAUGUCUGGUCUUGUACAUAUCAUGGCAUACAUAAGGCUUCCCACCGCCGAUGCAUACGGUACUCGAGACAUUUCCAUCCUCUCCGCUUCAUUGCUAGGACUCAUACCUGAGGAUAAUUUAAAAUUCACAGGAAGUGGGGUAGAGAUUGGCUUACAGUCUUGCAUGUUGAAGCGGCGCAAGACUUUCCUUAGAUAAUUCUUUUGAGAAAGCCAAAUCUUCCUGUCUUUUCUGUCUCGGUGAAUUUGCAUCCCUAAAAUCUUGUUUGCUGGUCCCAAGUCUUUCAUAUCGAACUCCCUAGCCAACUGUGCCUUCAAUUCCUGGACUCGAUCUUUGUUGGGGCCUACCACCAACAUGUCAUCCACAUACAACAGCAAAAUGAUAAAAUCAUUACCAUCAAACCUUUUGUAGUACGUACAAUGGUCUGAACUAAGUCUGUUGUAAUCGAGGCUAAUUAUGAAAGAAUCAAAUCUCUUGUACCAACAUCUGGGCGCCUGCUUUAGACCGUACAGAGAUUUGGUCAACCUGCAAACCAAGUUUUCUUUUCCUUGUUCCUUAAAUCCUUCCGGUUGGAGCAUAUAAAUUUCUUCUUCAAGUUCUCCAUGAAGAAAAGCAGUCUUUACAUCUAGCUGUUCAAGAUGUAAAUCCAACGCAGCACACAUCGCCAACACUACUCUGAUAGUAGUAAGUCUGACAACCGGAGAAAAUAUCUCAUUGAAGUCAAUACCUUCUUUCUGAGCAUAUCCUUUUACAACCAGUCUUGCACGAUACCGUUCCACUUGAUCAUUGCCAUCACGUUUGAUCUUGUAUACCCAUUUGUUUCCAAUGGCUUUCCGACCCUUUGGAAGUUCAACAAGCUCCCAUGUCUUGUUCCUAUGUAAGGCCUCCAUUUCUUCAUGCAUUGCUGUCAUCCAUUGAGAAGCAUCCGAACCAUUCAACGCCUCAUGAAAAGUUGACGGUUCACCUUCUUCAGUUAUAAGACAAUAUGCAUCAUGGCUUGUCAUAACAUAGUCUGAUUGCCAAGACGGUUUCUGCGUCUGACGCGUUGAUCGACGAACACCAUCAUUGACAUCAUCUGGUUCUUGUUCUUCGUGCACCGAUUCAGCUUCAGAAGAAUCACUUUCUUUGGAUUUUUCUUCCAUCUGCACUAUAGCAGUCUCUUUAGAAGUGCUGUCAUUUUUCUGCUCACUUUGCAGUUCAUUUUCUGCAAAGACUACAUCCCUGCUAACAACAACCUUGCGGGCAGUGGGAUCCCACAGGCGAUACCCCUUAACAUUGUCAGCAUAACCCAAGAAGAUACAUUUCCUGGACUUUGGGUCCAACUUCGUUCUUUCUUGGGAGUUGUACAUCACGUACACAGGACAACCAAACACAUGCAGAGAAGAAUAAUCUACUGGCUUUCCUUUCCACAUCUCCAUCGGUGUCUUCAAAUCAAUCGCCGUUGAUGGUGAGCGAUUUAUUACAUAACAGGCGGUUUUCACUGCUUCUGCCCAGAACGACUUGGCCAUUCCCGCUGUUUUCAGCAUAGCUCUUGUUCUUUCUAGGAGAGUUCUAUUCAUCCGCUCUGCCACACCAUUCUGCUGAGGUGUAUGUGCAACCGUGAAUUGCCUUACAAUACCCUCUUGUUUACAAAAUGCUAGAAACUCGCCAUCUACAUAUUCUCCUCCAUUAUCUGUCCUCAAGCACUUAAUUUUCUUCCCAGUUUCAAGCUCUAUUUGUGCUUUGAAUGCCUUGAAUACUGGAAACACAUCUGACUUCUUCUUGAUUGGGUACACCCAUAAUCUUCUGGAAUAGUCAUCAAUGAAUGACACGAAGUAUCUUGCUCCUCCCAGAGAUAAUUCUGGUGACUCCCACACAUCAGAAUGUAUCAAGUCUAGUAUGUGUUUGCUUCUAGUAGUUACUCUAGCAAACUUCAAUCUAUGUUGCUUGCUUAUCACACAGUGCUCACAGAAUGGUAAAUUUACUGUCUUGAGCCCGUGAAGGAGAUUGCGUUCCACAAGGACUUUCAAGCCACGUUCAGACAUAUGGCCUAGUCUUUGAUGCCACAUCAUCGUUGUUUCUUCUUGGCUUGCUGCUGCAACUGAUGCAUCCGCCUCUUGCAAUGUAUCUCCCAGAAGCAUGUAUAGAUUACUUGUGAUCUUUUCUGCUUUCAUCACCACAAGAUUGCCUUUCACUACUUUCAAGAUUCCACUUUCAGUGUGGAUCUUACACCCGAGAUCAUCCAAUUGUCCAACAGACAAUAAAUUCUUCUUCAACCCCUUUACAUGACGCACUCCUUGUAUUUUUCUAACAGUACCAUCAUGCAUCUUUAAUCUGAUAGUACCGACUCCAGCAAUUUCUAAGGCAUGAUCAUUUCCCAUGUACACAGAUCCUUCUGAGAUAGGCUCAUAAGAGAAAAACCAAUCUCGGUGUGGAGUCAUGUGCCAUGUUGCACCUGAAUCCAUUAUCCAGACAUCGUUGAGUCGUCUUUCGCCUUUAGAACUGGUUGCUGCUUCACUAUACAGGAUUUCCCCGUCAUCUGAGGUACUUGCAACACAUCCUUGAGAUGUUGAAGCUUCAGAAUUCUUCUCUCCAUUCUUCUUGAUAUUCCAACACUCCUUCUUUACGUGCCCUUUCAUGCCACAACCGUAGCAUUUGAUAUUCUUCUUUCUUCGAGAUUUUGACCUACCAUGAUUUUGACUCCCACUGGGGCCACGUUCCGUUGAUCUGCCUCUCGUCAUCGUCAAAGCCUCUGCUUGCUUUGAACUCUCUGACCUUUCUUCCUUAUUCUUGCGCCUGGAUUCUUCUUCAAGGAUUGCACCGGCGACAUCAUCAAAGUGAAGAGUAUCAGUUAUGUUAUUAUUUGUAAUGUUGAUGAUGAGUUGAUCAUACGAAUCUGGUAAACUCUGAAGUAGAAGUUCAGCACGCUCAUUUUCCGCUAUUUUGAAAUCAGAAGCCGUGAGUUGAGAAAAUAGCGUAUUCAGGGUGUUGAUGUGAUCCGUUACGGAUGUGGAUUCACCCAUUCGAAGAGUGUAGAGCCUUCUCUUUAAGAAUAUUCUGUUGUGGAGUGAUUUGACCUCGUACAAUUUUAUUAGUGUAUCCCAGAUCUCCUUUGCUGUCUUCUUUUCAGCAAUACUUGACAAUACCGAGUCCGCCAUUGCUAGGUGCAAAUUGGCAACGGCAUUAUCAUCCAUCUCUUUCCACUUUUCAUCAGUGAUAUCUGCAGGUCUGCCAUCUAUUGCGUCUAGACAAUUAUCUUUUCUUAAAAUUGCCCUUAUCUUCAAUUUCCAUAGGGAAAAAUUUCUCCCGUUGAACUUCUCUAUCUCAAAUUUCGCUGCCAUGGUUUUACACCAAAUAUUUUUCUUUCAAACUAGACCGGAAUAAUAAGAAUUCUUUUCUGAUGUGGAAGAUCAGUUUAAACCGCAACCACAGAGCAUACUAAGAUUUUUCUUACCACUCCACUAGUUUAUCACAGCGGAAUAACAGCUACGAACCAGCGGCUCUGAUACCACUGUUAGGUACCAGAGUAACAAAAUAUUAUCACGCAGCUAAAAUAAGAGACGAGAAAAGAGGAACUGAACACACAAUAUUUUACGUGGAAACCCCUCAACAAAUAAGGGGAAAAAACCACGGGGCAAGAGUAGAGAACUUUCACUAAGUGGAAGAAAUUACAGGACCUCUCUCUAACUACAAGGAGAGUACAAAUACCACUCUCUCUUAUAAAUAGGAGAAUACUAACUAACACAAACUAGGAGAAACCUCACAGGAGAAACUAUUUUUCCUCUCUAUAUUUUUUCUCUCACUAUCUAAACAAGCUUUACUUGUUCUUGUGUUGUUACUGAUUUGGGAUGAGUAGAAUGGUGCAAGGGACAUGCUAUUUAUACUAGUGAAAGAGCCAUGCCCCAACCAAUUGCAUUUAUGGCAGCGUGUGGAUUUUCAACUUUGCAUAGUAACUUUCCAUGUGAACAUAGAAAUUACAUGCCAACAUGUUUUACUGCCAUGUGAUAACACUUCAACAAAAGUGGCUUUACCACUUUCCUGUGUUCACAGAAAUAGUUUUAACCAAAUGCACGCUAAGAUGUUUGCCUUGUUUAAUGCUAUUACGCUUUCCACAUUUAUAGGUGGUUUGCAUUUGUAGAUUGAAUAUCAUAGAUUGUUUCAAUUCGGGUGUACAAAAAUCGUGAC